GAGUUUGAUCGUGGCUCAGGACGAACGCUGGCGGCGUGCUUAACACAUGCAAGUCGAACGAGAAUCUACUGAAAGAGUUUUCGGACAAUGGAAGUAGAGGAAAGUGGCGGACGGGUGAGUAACGCGUGAGGAACCUGCCUUGAAGAGGGGACAACAGUUGGAAACGACUGCUAAUACCGCAUGAUGCAUAAGGGUCGCAUGAUUCUUAUGCCAAAGAUUUAUCGCUUCAAGAUGGCCUCGCGUCUGAUUAGCUAGUUGGCGGGGUAACGGCCCACCAAGGCGACGAUCAGUAGCCGGACUGAGAGGUUGAACGGCCACAUUGGGACUGAGAUACGGCCCAGACUCCUACGGGAGGCAGCAGUGGGGAAUAUUGGGCAAUGGGCGCAAGCCUGACCCAGCAACGCCGCGUGAAGGAAGAAGGCUUUCGGUAUGUAAACUUCUAUCAGCAGGGAAGAAAAUGACGGUACCUGACUAAGAAGCCCCGGCUAACUACGUGCAGCCGCCGCAGUAAC
RNAcentral lists this ribosomal RNA (512 nucleotides) under uncultured microorganism. RNAcentral describes it as "bacterial SSU rRNA". It matches the Rfam family "Bacterial small subunit ribosomal RNA", at positions 9 to 524 of the family's 1533-position model. The record is from RNAcentral.